This 700-nucleotide long non-coding RNA is filed under the name Marmota monax (woodchuck). Lineage: Eukaryota; Metazoa; Chordata; Mammalia; Rodentia; Sciuridae. The record is from RNAcentral.
GGUAGCCCUGGCUACCCUGGGCCCAUUCCAUGUUGGAUUUCUGGCCUCCAGGUUACAAGAGAAUAUUUGUGUCACCUGAAACCACCAAGUUUGUGACAGUUUGUCACGGCAGCCAGAGGAAACUAAUACAGUAGGUUGGUGGCCAGCGGAGGGCAGGCUGUCACCGGACGGGUUUGCAUCUUGCACCAGUUCAUGAAGAGUUUAGAUGGCCAUGGUUAGGAAGGUGACCUUGAUGUUAGAAUAACAGCAAGCCCUGAAGGAUUCAGAGCUGGAGAGAUGUGACCCAAUGACUGUGUAACCAAGACCUUCUUUGCUCUUGAUGGAGAUGGGACUACAGGAAGAGAAAGUGGGGAGAUGGCCUCAGUGUCUUGCAGGUGAGAGGCAGUGGGCCAGCCUGGGGUGUCGGCAGUGGAGGUGGACAGAAGAGAAGGGAUUCCAGGCAUUCUGGAGGCAGAUUCUCAAGUUUCUUAUGGGUAGACUGGAUGAGAGAGCUCGGGGGAAGGCAAGGGUCCAGGGUGCCUCCUAGAUAUCUGCCUUGAGUACCUAAGGACUGGGAUCAAUAGAAAACAAAUUUAGAAGGGGAAAGAACUUCUGUUCUGGAUUGCCAAGAUUGAGAUGCUUAAGUAGAAGAAGUCAAGUGGCGUCCAGGUAAAGGGUAAGGGUGGUACUGAAAUCUUGGUAUAUUAACUUUGAAAAAUCU